AUCAGAUGUUUUUGAGAAUAUAUUGUUGUGGCAAUUGCUGAUAAAAGGCUGGUGUAAAGAGGGAACCUGUAAGGGUGGCUAAGUUCUAUUUUUAGAGGAGAGUAUGUCCAAAUUUUUAUAAAAGUAUAAGGAUUUAAUUAAAAUGAAUAUUUAAUGCUUGUUUAAUGGUGAUAACCAUUGUUGUCAAACUCGCGAGUUAACUCGUAAACUCGCACACGAGUUUACGAGUUUAGGUAGUGGAAUCGAGUUAACUCAGACACAAACUCGUUUCUGAGUAGACUCGGGUAGACUAGGAUAAACUCGGUCAAACUCGCGAGUUUAUUCAUGAGUCAGCGAGUUUGAUUUAGGUUGGGUUUUUUGCCAAAACGGCCCGUUUUGGGCAAAAAAAAAAAAAAAAAAAAGGCAGCAACGGAGCAACCCACUAACCCAGCUAACCCUAAAUCCCCUUUGCUCGCACUCACUCUCUUCUCUUCUCUAAGCUAUCUUCUUCGCGUUUCGUCGUCAACGGUCCAUCCCUCGCCGCCGUCCGUCCCCGAUCCCUUGCUGCCGUUCACCGUUCGCCGUUCCCCAAACCACUGUUCUCUCACUCUUGCUCUCUCAUUCAGCUCGACACACUCUCACAGUCUCACUCUCUCGCUCCCUGAUCUGCAUCGAAGAACGCAGAUUCGUGGAGUACAGCCGUCAGCACAACACAGCAACACCAAUGUCAGCCACGCUUUCGUCGGUCGUUGUGGAGCACAGCACAGCAACGCGCCAACGCCAGUGUCAGCUACUCAGCUGAGCCUACUUCAUUCUGCCAUCUCAGCCUUCAGGGACAAAAAUACAAAAUGUCUGAAACAAAUGAUGUUUCGGAUGAAGAUGGUGAAGAUGAUGAUGUUGAUGCCAUGGAAGAUGAAGAUAUUGGAGGA
This is a non-coding RNA of Arachis ipaensis, 908 nucleotides long. Lineage: Eukaryota; Viridiplantae; Streptophyta; Magnoliopsida; Fabales; Fabaceae. The record is from RefSeq and is a predicted model, not a curated record.